UGAAAUAAACCUGAUGGGUUGUUGCUGGCUCUCUAGGGAGCAUGUGCACGCCUUGUCAUCUUUAUAUCUCCACCUGUGCACCUUUUGUAGAUCUUUCAGGUCUAUGUUGCUUCAUUUUACCACAAUGCAUGUUAAUAGAAUGUUGUGCCUAUAUAAUAUAUACAACUUUCAGCAACGGAUCUCUUGGCUCUCGCAUCGAUGAAGAACGCAGCGAAAUGCGAUAAGUAAUGUGAAUUGCAGAAUUCAGUGAAUCAUCGAAUCUUUGAACGCACCUUGCGCUCCUUGGUAUUCCGAGGAGCAUGCCUGUUUGAGUGUCAUUAAUAUAUAUAUCAGCCCUCUCUUGUUGAGUGGUUUGGAUGUGGGGGGUUUGCUGGCCUCUUAAAAGAGGUUCAGCUCCCCUGAAAUGCAUUAGCAGAGCAACCUGUUCAUUGGUGUGAUAACUAUCUACGCUAUUGAAUGUGAAGGGAAGUUCAGCUUUCUAACAGUCCUUGGACAAUUUACAUCAUUAAUGUGACCUCAAAUCAGGUAGGACUACCCGCUGAACUUAAGCAUAU
This 554-nucleotide ribosomal RNA is filed under the name uncultured Cortinarius. RNAcentral describes it as "eukaryotic LSU rRNA". The stretch from base 164 to 317 matches the Rfam family "5.8S ribosomal RNA". The record is from RNAcentral. Lineage: Eukaryota; Fungi; Basidiomycota; Agaricomycetes; Agaricales; Cortinariaceae.